This 506-nucleotide ribosomal RNA is filed under the name uncultured bacterium. Its description in RNAcentral is "partial 16S ribosomal RNA". It matches the Rfam family "Bacterial small subunit ribosomal RNA", at positions 30 to 523 of the family's 1533-position model. The record is from RNAcentral.
AUUGAACGCUGGCGGCAGGCUUAACACAUGCAAGUCGAGCGGUAACAGAGAGAAGCUUGCUUCUCUGCUGACGAGCGGCGGACGGGUGAGUAAUGCCUAGGAAUCUGCCUAGUAGUGGGGGAUAACUUGCCGAAAGGUAAGCUAAUACCGCAUACGUCCUACGGGAGAAAGGAGGGGACCUUCGGGCCUUUCGCUAUUAGAUGAGCCUAGGUCGGAUUAGUUAGUUGGUGAGGUAAUGGCUCACCAAGACCGCGAUCCGUAACUGGUCUGAGAGGAUUGUCAGUCACACUAGAACUGCGACACGGUCCAGACUCCUACGGGAGGCAGCAGUGGGGAAUAUCGGACAAUGGGGGGAACCCUGAUCCAGCCAUGCCGCGUGUGUGAAGAAGGUCUUAGGAUUGUAAAGCACUUUAAGUUGGGAGGAAGAGCAGUUAACUAAUAUUUGACUGUUUUGACGUUACCGACAGAAUAAGCACCGGCUAACUUCGUGCCAGCCGCCGCAGUAA